Molecule: ribosomal RNA, 253 nt
Filed under: uncultured bacterium
Lineage: Bacteria
Description: partial 16S ribosomal RNA
Rfam family: Bacterial small subunit ribosomal RNA
Source: RNAcentral
UACGAAAGGUGCGAGCGUUAAUCGGAAUUACUGGGCGUAAAGCGCGCGUAGGUGGUGUGUUAAGUCGGAUGUGAAAGCCCUGGGCUCAACCUGGGAACUGCAUCCGAUACUGGCACGCUAGAGUGCAGUAGAGGGAGGUGGAAUUUCCGGUGUAGCGGUGAAAUGCGUAGAGAUCGGAAGGAACACCAGUGGCGAAGGCGGCCUCCUGGACUGACACUGACACUGAGGUGCGAAAGCGUGGGGAGCAAACAGG